GAUGAACGCUGGCGGCGUGCCUAAUACAUGCAAGUCGAGCGAACAGAUGAGGAGCUUGCUCCUCUGACGUUAUCGGCGGACGGGUGAGUAACACGUGGAUAACCUACCUAUAAGACUGGGAUAACUUCGGGAAACCGGAGCUAAUACCGGAUAAUAUAUUGAACCGCAUGGUUCAAUAGUGAAAGACGGUUUUGCUGUCACUUAUAGAUGGAUCCGCGCCGCAUUAGCUAGUUGGUAAGGUAAAGGCUUACCAAGGCAACGAUGCGUAGCCGACCCCAGAGGGUGAUCGGCCACACUGGAACUGAGACACGGUCCAGACUCCUACGGGAGGCAGCAGUAGGGAAUCUUCCGCAAUGGGCGAAAGCCUGACGGAGCAACGCCGCGUGAGUGAUGAAGGUCUUCGGAUCGUAAAACUCUGUUAUUAGGGAAGAACAAAUGUGUAAGUAACUAUGCACGUCUUGACGGUACCUAAUCAGAAAGCCACGGCUAACUACGUG
This 497-nucleotide ribosomal RNA is filed under the name uncultured bacterium. RNAcentral's name for it is "partial 16S ribosomal RNA". It matches the Rfam family "Bacterial small subunit ribosomal RNA", at positions 28 to 507 of the family's 1533-position model. The record is from RNAcentral.